Molecule: ribosomal RNA, 704 nt
Filed under: uncultured bacterium
Lineage: Bacteria
Description: bacterial SSU rRNA
Rfam family: Bacterial small subunit ribosomal RNA
Source: RNAcentral
AGUUUGAUCCUGGCUCAGGACGAACGCUGGCGGCGUGGAUUAGGCAUGCAAGUCGAACGCGAAAGAGGGGUAACCCCUCGAGUAGAGUGGCGAACGGGUGAGUAACACGUGAAGAACCUGCCUUCGACAGGGGGAUAACACUCCCAACAGGGUGCUAAUACCGCAUAUGACCACGGGUCCGCAUGGACCAGAGGUAAAAGGUGGCCUCUACUUGUAAGCUACCGGUCGAAGAUGGCUUCGCGUCCCAUUAGCUAGUUGGCGGUGUAACGGACCACCAAGGCGACGAUGGGUAGCUGGUCUGAGAGGAUGGUCAGCCACACUGGGACUGAGAUACGGCCCAGACUCCUACGGGGGGCAGCAGUCGAGAGGCUUUGGCAAUGGGGGAAACCCUGACCAAGCGACGCCGCGUGGAGGAUGAAGGCCCUUGGGUUGUAAACUCCUUUUGUCGGGGAAGAAACACGAUCAGGUGAAUAAUCUGGUCGUUUGACGGUACUCGGCGAAUAAGCUCCGGCUAACUCCGUGCCAGCAGCCGCGGUAACACGGGGGGAGCAAGCGUUGUUCGGAAUCACUGGGCGUAAAGGGCGUGUAGGCGGUCAGGUAAGUGGAAUGUGAAAUGCCCCGGCUCACCCGGGGAUCUGCAUCCCAAACUGCCUGGCUUGAGUUCGGGAGAGGAUGAGGGAAUUCCUGGUGUAGCGGUGAAAUGC